RNAcentral lists this ribosomal RNA (253 nucleotides) under uncultured bacterium. RNAcentral describes it as "partial 16S ribosomal RNA". It matches the Rfam family "Bacterial small subunit ribosomal RNA", at positions 524 to 776 of the family's 1533-position model. The record is from RNAcentral.
UACGAAGGGGGCUAGCGUUGCUCGGAAUCACUGGGCGUAAAGGGUGCGUAGGCGGGGCUUUAAGUCAGGGGUGAAAUCCUGGAGCUCAACUCCAGAACUGCCUUUGAUACUGAGGAGCUUGAGUACGGGAGAGGUGAGUGGAACUGCGAGUGUAGAGGUGAAAUUCGUAGAUAUUCGCAAGAACACCAGUGGCGAAGGCGGCUCACUGGCCCGUAACUGACGCUGAGGCACGAAAGCGUGGGGAGCAAACAGG